AAAAUGGCGCUUUUAAGCGCCAUUUUUAUUCCCUAAAAUGAAAAG
Acinetobacter equi is the source of this 45-nucleotide non-coding RNA. The record is from Rfam. NCBI's taxonomy places the organism in Bacteria, Pseudomonadati, Pseudomonadota, Gammaproteobacteria, Moraxellales, Moraxellaceae.